CAGUCGCCGCGGUAAUACAGAGGGUGCGAGCGUUAAUCGGAUUUACUGGGCGUAAAGCGUGCGUAGGCGGCUUUUUAAGUCGGAUGUGAAAUCCCUGAGCUUAACUUAGGAAUUGCAUUCGAUACUGGGAAGCUAGAGUAUGGGAGAGGAUGGUAGAAUUCCAGGUGUAGCGGUGAAAUGCGUAGAGAUCUGGAGGAAUACCGAUGGCGAAGGCAGCCAUCUGGCCUAAUACUGACGCUGAGGUACGAAAGCAUGGGGAGCAAACAGGAUUAGAUACCCCCGUAGUCCCUGUCUCUUAUCA
Molecule: ribosomal RNA, 301 nt
Filed under: uncultured bacterium
Lineage: Bacteria
Description: partial 16S ribosomal RNA
Rfam family: Bacterial small subunit ribosomal RNA
Source: RNAcentral